UAGCUCAGUUGGUAGAGCAUAACCUUGCCAAGGUUGGGGUCGCGAGUUCGAGUCUCG
Molecule: transfer RNA, 57 nt
Filed under: Acinetobacter baumannii
Lineage: Bacteria; Pseudomonadati; Pseudomonadota; Gammaproteobacteria; Moraxellales; Moraxellaceae
Description: tRNA-Gly
Rfam family: tRNA
About the family: Transfer RNA (tRNA) molecules are approximately 80 nucleotides in length. Their secondary structure includes four short double-helical elements and three loops (D, anti-codon, and T loops).
Source: RNAcentral